AGUCCCGCGUGGGUCGUACAUGGCGGGGCCGCUCGGCAACCUUGGGGUACCCCCGGCCCUGACACUGCCCCGGGCACCUCCGGGCCCGCCCGUCGGUCGGCUCUGACACCGCACUCGGGUCCCCCGCCCUCUCGGUGAGCCUCCAGCGCCUCCGCCACGCGGUCCCCUUCACCUUCCUCGUCGGUGCAGCCGCAGCCGCCCGCCGUUUGGCUGCUGCUCUCCUGCCUUGGCUCGAACCGUCCCCACCACGGCCGCCCGAGGCCUCCAUCCUCAGCCACCCCUGCACCGGGAGCGGCCGUCACCCCCAGUCUCCCUGCCUGCACCUGGGGCUCCCCACAGCUCGCACCGGGGGCUCUUCCCUGCCCACACCGGCAUCUGCUCCGGGCCCGCUCACGGCUGGAGCCCAGCAGGGACACCCCCGACCCCUCCGUGUGUCACCUCCCUGUCCCGGGGCGGAGGGAGGGCAGAGGAGCCCACGAGUCCCGGGUUCCUGUGGCGAACCCGAGGGAAAAGAGCUGACGGUGAAACAGCAAAACCCGCACAGAAAACUGGGGGAAGGAGGAAUCCAAGGGGAGAACUUUGGGGCGCUGCGGGAUAAACACAGGAGGGCUCUGCUCCCAGGGAACAAGGGGAAACAGCCUCAAGUGGCACCAGGGGAGGUUCAGGUUGGAUACUGGGAAAAUUUCUCCAUGGAAAGGGUUGUCCAGCCCUGGCACAGCUGCCCAGGGCAGUGGUGGAAUCACCAUUUCUGGAGGGAUUUCAGAGCUGUGUGGAUUUGGCACCUGGGGACAUGGGUUAGUGGUGGCCUUCGCAGUGAGUGCUGGGGGAAUGGUUAGACUUGAUCCCAGAGGGCUUUUCCAACCUAAAUUAUUCUCUGUAUUUUGUGAAUCCAGCAGUCUCUUUGCAAUAUAAUUUUCCUGUCUCCAGUUUCCAGACAGUGUUUCCAGCACAAGGACAAACACUCCCAAAGGUUGGUUUUCCCUUCUGACUUCUGCCCAACAGGCAUCUCUGUUUCAUCAUCCUGCAUUUUAAAGUACUGAAGUACAAGUUUGUAUUUAUUUGUCUUUGCAGUUGAUUUGCUUUAAUAAAAUACAUAAAAUUUUUCUUAUAAAAGUUUAA
This 1119-nucleotide long non-coding RNA is filed under the name Manacus vitellinus (golden-collared manakin). RNAcentral's name for it is "lncRNA (ENSMVIG00005016373.1)". Lineage: Eukaryota; Metazoa; Chordata; Aves; Passeriformes; Pipridae. The record is from RNAcentral.